RNAcentral lists this ribosomal RNA (496 nucleotides) under uncultured bacterium. RNAcentral's name for it is "partial 16S ribosomal RNA". It matches the Rfam family "Bacterial small subunit ribosomal RNA", at positions 28 to 506 of the family's 1533-position model. The record is from RNAcentral.
GAUGAACGCUGGCGGCGUGCCUAAUACAUGCAAGUCGAGCGAACGGACGAGAAGCUUGCUUCUCUGAUGUUAGCGGCGGACGGGUGAGUAACACGUGGAUAACCCACCUAUAAGACUGGGAUAACUUCGGGAAACCGGAGCUAAUACCGGAUCAUAUUUUGGACCGCAUGGUUCAAAAGUGAAAGACGGUCUUGCUGUCACUUAUAGAUGGAUCCGCGCUGCAUUAGCUAGUUGGUAAGGUAACGGCUUACCAAGGCAACGAUGCAUAGCCGACCUGAGAGGGGGACCGGCCACACUGGAACGGAGACACGGUCCAGACCCCUACGGGAGGCAGCAGUAGGGAAUUUUGCGCAAUGGGCGAAAGCCUGACGGAGCAACGCCGCGUGAGUGAUGAAGGUCUUCGGAUCGUAAAACUCUGUGAUUAGGGAAGAACAUAUGUGUAAGUAACUGUGCACAUCUUGACGGUACCUAAUCAGAAAGCCACGGCUAACUACGU